RNAcentral lists this long non-coding RNA (294 nucleotides) under Panax ginseng (ginseng). RNAcentral's name for it is "long non-coding RNA (PGIN_LNC018993)". The record is from RNAcentral. Lineage: Eukaryota; Viridiplantae; Streptophyta; Magnoliopsida; Apiales; Araliaceae.
UUUAUUUACAGCUGGAUUUUACAUUAACUUGGUUCGUGAAAAUGGUGGUUGGUACUGAGAGGCAAGAAGACUGAUUUACAUAUCUGAACUUUUAAUUUUAGGCAGAUAUCCAUUAGAAAAACUUGAAUUUAAAUCAUUUCAAGUUCUUAAAAAUUUGUUACCGAAUGUACUAUCAAAUGAGUAGUUCUCUAGUUCGUCCGGUCUAUUUUUACAUUUAAGGUGAGCUUUGUAAGGUGUAAACCGGUGGUGGUGGUUGUGUAUAUUAGUGUUGUAUUGUACCCUAUAGAAUGAAGG